This 574-nucleotide ribosomal RNA is filed under the name uncultured bacterium. RNAcentral's name for it is "partial 16S ribosomal RNA". It matches the Rfam family "Bacterial small subunit ribosomal RNA", at positions 355 to 919 of the family's 1533-position model. The record is from RNAcentral.
UGGGGAAUAUUGCACAAUGGGCGCAAGCCUGAUGCAGCCAUGCCGCGUGUGUGAAGAAGGCCUUCGGGUUGUAAAGCACUUUCAGCGAGGAGGAAGGUGGUGAGCUUAAUACGCUCAUCAAUUGACGUUACUCGCAGAAGAAGCACCGGCUAACUCCGUGCCAGCAGCCGCGGUAAUACGGAGGGUGCAAGCGUUAAUCGGAAUUACUGGGCGUAAAGCGCACGCAGGCGGUUUGUUAAGUCAGAUGUGAAAUCCCCGGGCUCAACCUGGGAACUGCAUUUGAAACUGGCAAGCUAGAGUCUCGUAGAGGGGGGUAGAAUUCCAGGUGUAGCGGUGAAAUGCGUAGAGAUCUGGAGGAAUACCGGUGGCGAAGGCGGCCCCCCUGGACGAAGACUGACGCUCAGGUGCGAAAGCGUGGGGCAGCAAACAGGAUUAGAUACCCUGGUAGUCCACGCUGUAAACGAUGUCGAUUUGGAGGUUGUGCCCUUGAGGCGUGGCUUCCGGAGCUAACGCGUUAAAUCGACCGCCUGGGGAGUACGGCCGCAAGGUUAAAACUCAAAUGAAUUGACGGGUC